GCGGGUGCUACCAUGCAGUCGAACGGUGAAGCCCUUCUCGGUGUGUCAGUGACGAACGGAUGAGUAACACGUGUAUCAUCUGCCCUGCACUCUGGGACAAGCCCUGGAAACGGGUUCUAAUACCGGAUAUGACCUUCCUCUGCAUGGGGGUUGGAGGAAAGCUCCGGGGGCGCCUGAUGAGCCCGCGGUCUAUCUACUUGUUGGGGGGGGAAUGGGCUCCCCAGGGGACCACUGGUAGCCUGGCUGGAAAGGCCAACGGCCACCCUGGGACUGAGACACGGCCCAGAAUCCUACCGGAGGGAGCCGUGGGGAAUAUUGGACCAUUGGCGACAGCCUGGAGCCGCGACUGCCCGUGAAGUAUGACGGGCCUUCGGUUGGAAACCUCUUUUUGCCAGGAAGAAGCGCAAGUGACCUUACCUGCAGAACAGCUGACGGCUAACUACGUGCCAGCAGCCGCGGUAAUACGUGCCAGCGCGAGCGUUGUUACGAAUUAUUGGGAGCUAAAGAGCUCGUUACUGGCCUGUCGCGUCGGACGUGAAAGCUUCGGGACUUAAGUCGUGAGUCUCGCAUUCGAUACGCGUGAGGAAUGGAGUGUGGAUAGUGGCAGAAUCUGAGAUUCUCUGGCAGUAGCGGGUGAAGAUGUUGCACGGUAGUCAGCGAGUGAACAUCGCGGUAGAGGAUAGUGCGAGAUACUCACUCGGAUCGUUGACUUGACGCCUCCACGUGAGGCUCAAAACGUGGACGCAUGCGAUACACGGAAUAGCGAUGAGCGCAGGCUAAGCACGACUCAGAUACCCGUGGGGAGAUCUACGCUCGUUAG
Molecule: ribosomal RNA, 820 nt
Filed under: Streptomyces sp. D127
Lineage: Bacteria; Bacillati; Actinomycetota; Actinomycetes; Kitasatosporales; Streptomycetaceae
Description: bacterial SSU rRNA
Rfam family: Bacterial small subunit ribosomal RNA (bases 1-721)
Source: RNAcentral